UACAGAGGUCUCAAGCGUUGUUCGGAUUCAUUGGGCGUAAAGGGUGCGUAGGUGGCGCUGUAAGUCGGGUGUGAAAUUUCGGAGCUUAACUCCGAAACUGCAUUCGAUACUGCGGUGCUUGAGGACUGGAGAGGAGACUGGAAUUCAUGGUGUAGCAGUGAAAUGCGUAGAGAUCAUGAGGAAGACCAGUGGCGAAGGCGGGUCUCUGGACAGUUCCUGACGCUGAGGCACGAAAGCGUGGGGAGCAAACAGG
Molecule: ribosomal RNA, 253 nt
Filed under: uncultured bacterium
Lineage: Bacteria
Description: partial 16S ribosomal RNA
Rfam family: Bacterial small subunit ribosomal RNA
Source: RNAcentral